UAAUGGGACUGUUUACGGAGCUAGGUACUUCUUAUGAGGGGUUGUUGCCUUGAGAGGGAGCCUUUGCUUGCGGGGGUGUGGUAGCACUAGAUGGCGAAGGGUAGCAGGGAAAGAAAAAAAAGGUACCUGUGCCCUCUAGCGGUACAGGUUUGCAAGUAAGGUGUCAGGAUUUGAACGGAGCUUAAAACGCUAGCUGGUCUAGCAGUUAACGGAGUUAAUCACUAGACCAACUAGAGCUUACUUUGAGGAAGACUAAAAAAAAGGUAACAAAUAGUUCGUUAAUUCACCUUGAAUGCAAUAUUUGCAUUAUAAGCGGAGCUGGUCCAUCAAUAUGGAUACGUUGCCACGGUUGAUUCCAGUGUUUAGUACAGCGAAUUCGAUUACAUAUUUCGCUAUCAUUUUGAUAUAUAAUGGGUAUCUUGGUCCAUAUCUGCAUUAGUUUGUUAAACGUUUAGUUGCAGUAAUGCAUUCCUCGUUUCAUUAAAGUACUUUUCUUUUUCCGCUUCGAAUUGUUGUAUACUUUCAAGUAUUUGAUUCAUUUUAAUCUAGAAAUUGUAUAAUUACCAUAUCGAUGUAAAAAUGUAAACUCACCACUCAAUCACCGCGCACAGUUGCAUGUAAAUGAAUUGUAAUCAAUAUCCGCCUUAGUCCUUUAGAUAACAGGAAAAGAGUAACCGCAGCGAGCAAUUAAAGUCGCAUACACACGAAACAUAAAAAAGGCUACGUAUAUAGGUACUAUAUAACGCGCAUGUCUUAUAAUCAGUGUAAAAGAGUCGAUACUAAUCCUUGGGACAGCAGUAGCGGAUCGAAUCGUGCUACCUACAUUAUGAGCGAUCAACAAAACAAUUUGAACCUGUCCUCAAAGAGCUAUGGAGUGAGGAAAGCGCAAAUUUUAGUUGGAUUGAUAAUUCGGCAGAAACGAUAGUCACAGAUUCGACUUUAAUAUCAACAUGAUCUUUAAUUCUCGAUGGAGUGAUUAGACUAGAACUGUGGCAUUGAAGGAUUUUGCGCCAUCCGUGCAAGUAUUUUGUAAUCAGGCAUAUUUCAAAUAUUAAAACAGAGCGUAUAAUUCGGCUCAUGUUAAAUGGUCUGGAAGAUCAGCAGAAUCAGGAAAGGUUUAUUGGCUGUGGCAUAACAAUCGAGGCAGUUAAUUUUACACCAUUUUACAUAGUGUUCUGUUAAUCAAAAAAGCGAUCACCCUCCUUUUUGCUGCCGUAACUGCUGUGAACCAAAAAUUAGACAACUUUAAUGAUCAUUCCAUGUACUGAACGUAUUACAACUUCAUAUGUGCAGUAGAAGAAACACUUCAUAGGGAAGUUAAAACACAUGACGAAAGCAUUUUGUCAAGAGGGAAAUUUUUCUGUCAAAACCUCUAAAUUAUUAAAAUCGAUAGUUGAAUGCAGGCAAUGGACAACUGAUUUAACGUUUUGUUAGAAAUUGUAAAUAUUUACCCUGAAACGUUUAAGGAUGUUAGAGAUAAGCUAAGAAUAUUUUAAAAAAAGCUGUAUGUUAUUAAUAAAACACCUUCAUAAGUAUAAUCACUCUUUUAUUUUCUAAUACAAGUACGUCUAGGUUGUAAAUAAGGUUUAACAUGCUUAUCAAAUUUGAUGAGAUUAGAUAAUACAUCAUAAAGCUGUUCUAGUAGCCCCUUAUUAGCGCAAUGAAUCUUGAAUAAAGAUAAAUCCAGGAUUCCUGUUUGAGUCACCUGCUCCGAAAAUUCACUAUAUUUAUAAAAUUUAUUGUUGUUAUCAAUAAAGUAGAGAUAACCAUCAAUAUAUUUAAACACGGAUGUGAAUUUGUUGGGGAUGUAAGGAAAUGUUUGGCUGUAUAUCAAUCGAUUCUUCGGUUUAUUAUUGCAAUCAUCAAACUCGAUCACUUCGUUCGAGCCAUGGUAAAUAAGUGAGCGUCCAGAAUAAGUGUUAAAUGCAGCGUUCACUGCACCUGGGAUCCCAAAUCGAUGAUAGGGCUGAGGCCAUCCUGCUAGCAAUUGUAAACUAGGGAACUGCACUAUGUAAAUUUGACCUCCGCUAAUGAAUAUAAUGUCACUAUUAGGUUUCUGAUAUAUCGCUUCGAAACGUUCGAAAGAUUUCGGAAGGAACGGCAGCCAUUCGAAUAAAUUCCUCGCGGUCUCAAUGUAAUUACUACCUAGAGCUGAUAUCCUCACCCAAUGUUUGUAAAACAUAUAAAUUCGUUUGUUUAAAAUUAAAAAGCGUUCCACUUGAAUUGCGCACAAAUCGGGUGGUUCACUAGAUGACGCUUUUUCUUCAGAGUAGUAUCAGCAGUGGUGCUUGUAGUUUUUGUAGUAGUAGAAGUAGCCUUCUUCAUUGGGAUCUAGCUUCUGUAUACCUACGAUAUCAUCAGCGCCCAAAUCACGCUUAUCGCGAGUUAUAUAGGGAAACAUAAUUGCAUCUUCAUCCUUCGAAUGUUCUAAUCCCAGUGCAUGAUCUAUCUCAUGAACUAAAACCGCAUAGUAGCUAGUUGAAUCUGCAGGCGGUAUAUUUGAAUCCUCAAAGUACCAUGCUUCACUUCUAUCCAUAUGUAAUGUCUACCGGAGUCUGACUGCGUUUUGGAAAGUUGGCAUGUGCUAGUUUGCCACCUCGACCGUCUAAGGCCCGUUGAGAUGUGGAAUGGGGAUUUAAAUACAUCGAAUGAUUGAGGCUUUGAAAUGUUAUUAAUAUUAUCAUAUCCAGAAGUUUUAUACGCAAAUUUUAAAUUUGCAUAUCUUCCUCAAGUUUGGAAAGCUUCUCUAGUGCGGGCUAGCGCUCGAUAAUCACUAUAUGCAAGAUGAUAAUAUAUUGUUUUCUUUUCCCAUUUAUAGGGUGCUACCGAAUAGGAGCUCAAAAUAUCUUCGUUUCCGCAUCUAGGUCUCACCAUAAACCCAAAAGUGUCAUCAUAGAAUUCUUCAUCCGUAGGUAGCUUGUAAUAUUCUUGAAAUGCUUUUAAUUUGUUACUAGUUCUGGAGUUAAAGACCUUAUUUUCUCUUCGUAAAGCCAUUGAAAGUUAUUCUGAGGUAAACACUGAAUUUGAGCCCAACCAUAUAAAUUAACCAUAUCCGUGUAUAGAAUAUGAGAGGACGGCUUGCUAGAAUCAUAGUUUUCCAUAUACUUGUUGAUUGCUUUACUAUAUUUCGUGCAGCACUGAGUUAUUCUGCCUCUUAUUCCCUUUUCCACGAACAAUACCAUAUCGAUAUCAGAUAAGAGAUCCAGUUUUACCUUUGUAUAGUUGAGCAUGCAUUGCCACGAACCUGGUGCGGUAAAGAAAAACGCGGGGUCUAGUUUAUGCGUUGUUAUGCAUUUCUCUCUAAAAUUGGUGAAGACGUCGGCGAGCAGAAGCACAUCGCUCGUUAGAUAAAGGUCGCUAUAUUGACCCAAAUUUUGAAUGUAAAAUUUACGCCAAACGUUUCUAGCAUGGGAAUAUUGCUGAUCCGAAAUGUCGAAUUGCGUUAUCUGCUAUAAAAUUUGCUUUUUUCGGGAAGCGAUGAUUCCUCGAAUUUCGUCCAAUCAUCCUUGUAUUCGUACGGAAACACAUAUUUUUUAGUUAAUAACUUUAACUGCUUAUCGUUUAAAUGGCCUUAGAGCGUAAAAUUUUAAAAUCGUCAAAUUUUAAAUAUGAUGCCAAUUUGUCUAAUGAUGAAUCCAUAAAGCGAAACGAAUCUACAAAUCUGAAUUGCACUGUAGUGUCCUUCAUGUGCUUAGUGAAUGAGAUGUAGCGCUCUUUGUUUUUAGGCAAAAGUGUAACUUUACCGGGAAUAGCUUGUGCAAUGUUUUUAAUAAUAACAUUACUAUCGUAACCGCUGAAAUUAUGGAAAAAUAUUGGAAUCAUGUGAAGGGGCCUUAUAACGAAGAUUGCAAGCCUGAUGGGCACUAGAUCGAAAUCGGCCUGUAAAGUGACAGUGAUCGCGAACUUUGACCCCCCUCCAGUAUCGGCCCUUCGCAAAUGUGACAAUGAGUGCUUACAUUAUACGCGAGCAUUUGCAUAUCACUCAGCGGUGCCAUUGGCAUGGGUGUAUCGAAAUAUCGUUGCAAAAAACGCAUCAUCCACGAACCAUUCCCUGGCAUGGUGAAGAACAUCGAGAUUUGGUCUUUUUCCAAAGCUCAAUAUUAUAUUAAGGACAGGUCCACUAUCAGCAAGUAAAAAAUUUUCAAAAAAUCCUGGUCGAACUUCGUAUGCCGAAUAAACUUAUGGGAUAACUAAUUGCUCCAAAUUUGCAGGAUUUGGGGGAGCCGCACGGAUUUCCAACCUUUUCCUUCUCACAGUCUUUUUAAGCGUUUGGGAUCGAGGAAGUGCACCUCGAGCUGCAUCUAAAGUGCAUUCAUUCAGAACUUGUGGGUUCAAUAGUGUCAGCUGCACGACGUUUAAACCUGAUAAAAAUGGCUCAAACGAAGCACGUGCUGAAGUUUAGUGCCAUUCAUUGUGAAUUACUUCACCAGUGCUGAUGAAACAAAACUUAUUCGAAGAGGGGAAAAUGCAGUGAAAUUAAACCACGUAGAACAGUGCUGAACUACUCGAUCGAUUGUACGAUGUAGAGGUAUAUCUAUAAGGAUGGCGAAAUCGAGAAAACAAAAUGUAGCUGUCCUCGAGGGCAAUCAUGCCAUCAUGUAGCGGCUUUGUGUAUAUAUGGCCAUCAUAAUAUUUCAGUACCCGAUGUUCAGUGCCAGUGGGCUAAACGGAAAUCGAAGGAAAUCACCACGAAAACUGUUGACGAAAUUUAUCGGGCCAUUCAAAUCUUCAUCUUCAAAUAAAGAGUAAUGUUUUAUAGAGAAGGUGCUAGUGAAUGAGGAAAAAAUUAAAUCCAUCAUCAGUGAAGCCACUAUUGGCCAGGCCAAUAAUCAACAUUGGCUUAUUUGUAGAAAAAAUCGCUUAACCGCAAGUAAUUUUGGAGCAGUAUUGGCUGCAAUAAAAAGGAACCGCUAUCCCCCAUCACUGUUUAGGCGAUUAAUUGAGAGAUGAACCGGAAGCUAUAGAGCAAUUCCAAGCCAUCACAAAUCUCCAAGUUACACCUACAGGAUUGUGGUUGCAUCGGUGUGGUUUUCUUGAAGCAAGUCCUGAUGGAUUUGUAGGACAUGAGUGUAUUAUAGAGAUGCCCAUACCAAUUUCGAAAUAAAAUUUUAAAGGAGGAACUUAAAGCAAAUAUGUCUUAUAUUGUUUGUUAUGAUGAUGAUACUAUCGUAAUUAAUCAAAAUCACCAAUAUUAAGCACAAAUUCAACUCUUGUAACGGAAGCUUGUUAAAUUUUUCAAGUUUUGUGGAUUUCAAAAUUAUAUUUGAGUAGAAGUGUGUAUCGAUGAUUCAGAUUUCUGGGAAGUUGUAGUUUUCAUUAAAAAUAACAAACAUUUUUUUUGUCGAGGUAAUUAAGUUUCAAAUAUCGUGAAAUAUAAGAUGAGUUAUUGGUUUUGGACUUCCUAUUUUGGGCUAGUUAAUGAUUAGUACGUGAUUUAAAAAAGGUCACUGGUUAAAAGACGCAAUUGAUUCUAAGAAAAAUAUGUAAUUAAACAGCGAGGCUAAAAAAUUAUGAGUUUGUUUAUUUCCGGUCACUCGAUGGGAGCGUUAAUUACGGGCGCUGGUUUUGUCGUUGAUAUUCACGCGGAGCGUGGAUACCGUCGCAGAAAACGCGGCUACGGGCCACUUAAGUAAUGAGGUGCUGGGUAUUAAAGACCUAAACCUAACUUACAAUGAACUUACUUAGAUUAUAAUAAAUUAUAACCCAGCUUGGAAACGGUCUGGGAAUCUGACACUUCUGCCAGAGCGCGUAGUGAUUAACCUACUAUUUCCUAAGCUUACAUCGCUACUUACAUUACUAUUUACAAUCACCGCGGGAACAGGAUUCCCGGCGUCGCAUUUAACCUGAAUAGUGAAACCCUGUUCGUCGUCAUCGCAACUUUCAUCAAACUGAUCUUGCUCGGCGAUAUUUUCUGAUAGCGUAAAUGCCGGUUUUAAACGGUCGAUGGAGACGCGACACUUUUUGUCAUUGACUUCAAUUAUGAAAGAUUUUUCGUCGCGUUCCAACACUAUAUGGUCCGUCGUACGGAGGGUCAGAUAAACCGCGCACCGCGUCACGGCGAAGAAAAACGUAUGGAGACGUUGUUAAUUCUUUGAACACAAAAACUUUCUUUUCGCCAUGGCGCCGUACCGGAGUUGGUUUAAUAUCGCUCAUGCGUUUCUUUAAAUCGACCACAAAUUUAGACGUCGGGUGGUCAUUACGCGUCAGGAAAAAUUCCGCAGGCAAUCUUAGGCUAGUCCCGUAAACUAAUUCGGCAGCUGUAGUUGCCAGAUCCUCCUUAAUCGCGGUACGGAUCCCUAGCAAAACGAUUGGCAAAGUAGCAACCCAAUCAUUGCCACCAUGGCAUUUUAUAGCGGCCUUGAGUUGCCUGUGAAAUCUUUCGACUAAACCGUUCGCUUGUGGAUGAUAACUUGUCGUACGAAUACGUUUUGUACCUAACAAGUUGCAUAACUCUGCAAACAACGCGGAUUCGAAUUGGCGUCCUUGAUCGGUUGUUAUACGCGAAGGAAUACCAAAACACGCUAUCCAUGUUGAUAAAAACGCAGUUGCGACGGUCACUGCUUCCAUAUCCGCGAUUGGGAUUACUUCAGGCCAUCGAGAGAAGCGGUCCACACACGUCAAACAAUAUCUGUAGCCUUGACAAUAACUCAUGCUAAUGAUAUCUAAAUGGACAUGUUCGAAACGAUCAGCCAUAUUCUCGAAUUGCUGAACAGGCGCGGAAACAUGACGAGUCACUUUGCAUCGCUGGCACGAAAUGCACGCACGCGUCCAUUCUCUGCAAUCUUUGUUUAUUGCAGGCCAAACGAAACGCGAAGUAAUUAGAUGCUGUGUAGCACGAAUACCAGGAUGGGAUAAACCAUGUAAUGAAUUGAAAACGGCGCGACGAAGAUGUAAUGGGACAAAAGGUCGUAUUACGUCGCCAGUCGUAUCGCAAUACAAAUUCGUAUUGUAUUCUGGAAAAUAAACUUUUUUAAGAAUUAGCGUUUGUUGCUCACGAGAUAACCAAUCUCGCAACUCCUUGUCCUUCUCUUGGGCGGCAGCGAGAGAAACGUGAUCAACCGCAGGGGAGAUUGAUUGGACACGGGAUAAUGCAUCAGCCACAAAAUUUUCAGACCCUUUAAUAUGCUGGAUAUCAGUUGAAAAUUGGGAAAUGAAAUCUAAAUGUCGAAAUUGACGCGGAGAGCACUUAUCCAAUUUUUGAUUGAAAGCAUAAAUUAAUGGUUUGUGGUCGGUGAAAAUUGUAAAAUUCCUACCUUCUACCAUGUGUCGGAAAUAUCUAAUCGCGCUGUAUAU
Photinus pyralis (common eastern firefly) is the source of this 7293-nucleotide long non-coding RNA. RefSeq lists it as uncharacterized. Lineage: Eukaryota; Metazoa; Arthropoda; Insecta; Coleoptera; Lampyridae. The record is from RefSeq and is a predicted model, not a curated record. The transcript has 5 exons.